AAGAUAAAUGAAAUCAUAAAACAAAAACUAAGUUCUCAUGAAAUGAGAAACAUUAUUCAAUGAAAACAAAACCAAAAUCUAAAAACUUUAGGCUUCAACCACCACAUUCCACCAUCAACCUUCAUGUAAUAGAUAAUUAUUUUAAAAGUUCAAUAAUAUCCUAAAGUAUUUUAGAUACAUAUUAAGAAUUAAGAUCAUAUUUGGUAGAAGUUCUUUUUGUCAUUUUAUAUGUUUCGGGUUCUAUCGGAUAUCCAUUUAGGUUCGGGUUCAGUUUGGAUAAUACGCGUAACCCAAAAUACCAAAAAAAACAGGAUCCAUUCGGUAUUUAUGUCGGGUUCGGAUCGGUUCGGAUUCGUUUUUAUCGGAUCAUGUUCGGUUCGGAUUUUCGGGUUCGGUUUAUUUGCCCAACCCUAAAAUUUUUCAUACAAAUAAAAGGAUUGAUGAUGAUGAGGUCAUCAGCUUUUAAGACAGAGUGCUGAGGUAGAGAUCUUUUAAUUUUCUUCUUAUGCUUUCCGUUUGGUGUGGUUCAUUCAAAUUAACUCUCAGUCAGUCUUCUCUGCUUAACACUCUUCAUCACCGUAAUCUAUCCAUAAUUUUGCAGGUAAAUCCAGUGAGAAUGGACGAGCUUCACUCAUAGUUAUAAGUUCAAAGAUUACAGAUGCAUGCUCUCCUAUUGGGACAGGUGGUUGGUCUUGAGUCUUAUCUACAAUCUUACGUUCAUGCAUGGGAGAUCCGACGUUUUUAUAAUCUUUCUUCUUAUCCUUAUUGUCUUGCACAUCCUGUUUACGCUUCGGUGUCUUCUUGUCUUCAAACGAUGUCCUAGACCGAGACUUGCGAACACGUCUCUCAGGUGGCUCAACCACAUUGAAGUCAGUCAUCUGGAGGAAAGCAUCAUCAUCUGUAAACAAAAAGUCAGACUCAGAGCCGGAGUGAACCUUCAGCUCUGUGUAUCCCGCAUGAGCCACACCGUCGCUGCGGCUUCCAGCGUCAGCAUACUCACCACCGCUCGUCGCUGGUCUACGAUCUCUCAUCUUCUUCAAACUCCCACCGCUUCCUCUUCGGGUAAGAUGAUGCCUCGGAGCAGGAAUGUUCGGCUUAGAGUUUCUUCCCCGAGAGCCUAACCUAAUCAGUCUCUGCGUAUGGUGCCUUGCCCUCCACGGUUUAUCGCAGCAAGAACACGACCUAAGGUGAGCAGAAUGGCUUGUGGAGAGCAGAUCAUACCCUAGCUUCCCUAGAAGCAAUCUGUUCACGUCUGGAUUCGGACCGGUCGUUUUGGUGAAGGACAGUAGACAAUCGUUGCACAUUCCUCGGCAGUCGGAGAGCUUGUUGUCGUGGUUUAGACACGACAUGUAAGAUGAGACCUCUGAUCUGUGGUUUCUGCAGAUGAGCAAUCUCCAGUGGAGAGGAUGGAGGAUCUUGGAGCAGAGAAAACAUGGCAUCUGCAAUCUGCAGUAGCGUGCGAACCAGACGAGGAGAUAGGAGAGGAGAGCGUCGAUGAGCAUGAGGAAUAUGAGGAACCAUUCGCAUGCUGCGUAGGUUAGCACAGGAACCUUUUGAUCAAACAUGACAUUUGGAACCAUCUUUUUCAGACUGGUGGUGACAGUGAGUUCUGGAGAACAUUAAAACUCAUCAUCUUGAAAGCAAAUUAAGGGGGAAAACUCAGAAUCUUGUGUCUGAGAUUUGCAUAUUUUGUUGAGCAUUUGGAAGUAAAAACGUGAAAGAUCCUAAAUCUGAAAACUUGGCUUCAUGAAUAAUCGGUCAAACAAACUUGUUCAAUGAUUUGUUAUUUCUGGUUUGCCUAAAUUAGUGUACAUUCUUUUUUUCGUAUGAAGAAAUGGUCGACCCGGUUUUUUGGAGAAUCUUUAAAAAAAAAUUGAUAAUUUA
Brassica napus (rape) is the source of this 1884-nucleotide long non-coding RNA. RefSeq lists it as uncharacterized. NCBI's taxonomy places the organism in Eukaryota, Viridiplantae, Streptophyta, Magnoliopsida, Brassicales, Brassicaceae. The transcript has 2 exons. The record is from RefSeq and is a predicted model, not a curated record.